ACUACAAGAAUGAAAUAUAAAACUGUUCGUUGAAAACGAACGAUUAUGUAUACCUUUUUUUUUUUUUUUUUUUAUAACCAUAGUAACUGUAUGAACGUAUUUAACACAUUGUCACAUUUUAGUCGAUGCAUCUUCAUUCGCGAUGUCUUCAAUACACGUGUUUCUCACUUCUUUCUACAAACUCAGUCGAUAAGAAAUUAUUAGAAACAGUAUUCAUGACAUUCAGUCGUAGACCGCCAUGGAUAAGGAUGCGUGUAUGUGCGUGUAUCUUCGAACUGUACAUUUUCGCAAAAAAAAAAAAAAGAAAAAAAAAGAAAAAAACACGUAGCUAUUGUACUCAGUCUAUAUGUAUAUGUAUAUGUAUAUGUGCACGUACGCGACGCGUGUCGAACGAAUCUUCGGCGGAACGAGAGGUUACAUGCGAGAUCGACCAAAAAAUUAGGCUAAAAAAAGAAGAAAGAAAUCGUAGAGCGGAGAGUAGAAACAGAGUACAGAGAGAAAAGAUAAUGUUCGGGAUAGUAGUUAGAAAUCCGAGAGAUGUUCUAGGAUGAAUGAGAAUUAUAGUCUUUUGUAAACGAACGAAACACGAGAAAUAUUGUAUAUUUUGAAAAUUGCGUGGGUAGAACACGUUGUCUGAUGAGAACGCGUAGAUAGAGAGGACAAUAUUAUAAUGAUGGUAAUGUCGUACUCUACUAUAACUGAAAGUAACGCGACACACGUGUACACUGUGUAUACAUUUGCGCACACGUGGUCAGGCGUGUGACACAAGUUACACAUACAUAUACACACACCAAUUACACACACACACAAACACUCACAGGACACACGCAAUGUGAAUUAGUGGAUAUUUUUAAUAAAUGGAUAUCACGAAGCAGAGAAUUUUCUGAUUAAUUCGGAUCGAUAUAGAUCGCGAUGCGAGCGCCACUAUUGUAACUUUUUUCUCGUUUCUAUUUUUCCCUUGUCUCUUUGACGAGACACGUCUGUCAUCUUGUGUGCCAGUGAUCACAGUGGAAGACGUUAAUUAACCUUCCUUCCCUCUUAUAACGAUGAUUGUCAAUGGAUUAAGUGAAAAUAAAAUUGGUUUUCCAGUCACAAAACUGUUUUAUCAAGAUUAACACUGUUUCUUAUUUCAGAAUUAAAACGAAGAAAAAUCACUGGAUUUUAAUUUUUGGAUGCAAAUUUAAGCGAGGACCGAAAUAAUAACCAAUAAUGACCAAUGACGUGAUUUCUACAAUUCAUCGAACCUGUUUCUUCGAAAUCUAAUUUCUUCUUUUACGUACAUGGAAGAACUGAGAGAACAAUUGUUAACUAAUCAUCGAGCGUUGUAAUCUAAUCAAAUCGAAUCACGAAGAUGGAGAUCAGUGUUCAAGAAUGGAUAUAUAUACAAGGAGGACAAGGGCGCAAUGCUUCUCACGUUGAAAUUUUUAUUGUAAUAGAUUGUAUUGAAAUCUUUGUCGCACUCUUUUUGAAAACAAAAAGUGUUUACACGCGGCUGCUCGAUUUCUCACGCUUUCUCUCUCUCUCACUCUCUCAUAUUUUUUUUCUCUUCUAUCGCAUUACUAUCUUUCUUUAUUUUUCUCUCUUCACACACAUACACACACACACUCUCUCACUCCUUCCUCCUUUCUACAAACCAACACGCAAAUAGGUUUGGUUCGAAGAGUGACAUAUACCAUGUACAUAUUUUGUUUUUUUCUUUUUUUCUUUUUUGUUUUUCUUCAUAUAUAUACCAGCGACGGCAUAUAACAAAAUUCGACAUAGACUACAACAACAAACAACACUCUUACUAAAACUCACAGGCAUACUUCGCUUUGUUUUUUAUUUCAUUUUCUUUUAUUUUGUUCUCCUCUCGUUUACUCCUCGCGCCGGUUCAUUCACACAAGAAAUAUAAUGUACAGAUACUCUAUUAUCACGAGGGAUGUACAAGACACGCCUAGACACUUCUUUUUGCUUUUCUCUCUCUCUCUCUCUCUCUUUCUCUCAUUUUCCUUUUUAUUCCUACAUGCCUUUGUAUUCCUCUUAUUAUGUAUAUAUAUAUAUUCGAUAUAAUAAUUACAUCUCGUGAUUUCUCUCUCACUCUGUCUCUCACUCUACCUCUGAUUCUUUCUCUCUCGUAUAUAAUUCUCUAUGUACAAUUAGACUCCCCUUGCGGUCUCGUGCUUAUUGUUGUUUUGUUUAGGAUGUUAGUAAAUACUAGUUAGCGUCAUAUUUACGUCUACGAAAUACGUAAACGAUUCAACAGUUUCAUUUUUUUUUUUUUCUUUUUCUUUUUUUCCUUUACUUUUUCACUUCUGCUUAAACGCUAUAGUGCUAAGUAAUUCUUUGUCAAUUACUUAUAUCACAUUGUUCGUGUACACGUAGAUUCCUCGCAUGUUUGUUCUUUACGUUACUUUCUCUCUCUUGAUUUGUUUGUUCCCGAGGGUUCCCGCUGACCGACGAGAUUUCUUUUUCUUUUCUUUGUUAUUUUAACCUCUUUUAAUUAUGUACAAAAAAGGGAUAUUUCUAUUGUUCUUGUUUCUUUUCCUCUUUCUCUAUACACAUAUAUAUCUGUCAAUAUUUUUGUUGGCUUUCUACGUCUGCUGUUCAGAAACAAACGCGAACGCGACUUUGCUUUGAUUUGACUGCUACCAUUAUUCUCUUCUCUGUGUCUUCUUCUCGCCAAAUACAAGAGGAGCGACUUUUAAAUUUUUCUUACAAACGAUUUAAAAUCUUUUGUCAUCUUUCUCUUAUCUAGAUAUACUUGAAAGUUCAAUAUUGAAGUUAUGCAUUUUAAUUAUACAGCAUUACAAUUUUUUCUUCUAAUAAUUCAAAUUCUUUGUUACUGGGAUUUAAAUAUCCUAUUGACUUUUUUUUCUUUUAAUUAUUAAUCAAAAUCUCUCAUAUCCAUAAUUAUAUUUGGAAGUUUAUUUUGUCCAGAUUACACACUUUUUGAGAAUAAUUCAAAGAUCAAUUUUCUUAGUCUUAUUUCUCAAUAGAAAUAACAAACAAAUUACUUGGUUCUUGAUAGAUUGAUUAUUAACUGUUACCUCCAGUCUUUUGUUUUAACUUACUUCAUCCAAGUCACGCAUUUUAAUGAUAAAAUCGUUCUCUCUUUUUGGCUAAAAACAAAAGUUUAUCACUCGUCUUGCAUUCAGCGAACAAAAUCAACAAUUCUUGUCUGCGCUUCCUAUUUUCUUUUUCGUGUUAAGAAUGCCCCCAACGUCUGAUACAAAUAUUUACAUAUCCAUUGCACGGUUCACAGUUGAAUUUUCCAAAGGAGAAUUACAAA
Long non-coding RNA from Frieseomelitta varia, 3268 nucleotides. RefSeq lists it as uncharacterized. NCBI's taxonomy places the organism in Eukaryota, Metazoa, Arthropoda, Insecta, Hymenoptera, Apidae. The transcript is spliced from 3 exons. The record is from RefSeq and is a predicted model, not a curated record.